Long non-coding RNA from Spodoptera litura, 451 nucleotides. RefSeq lists it as uncharacterized. Lineage: Eukaryota; Metazoa; Arthropoda; Insecta; Lepidoptera; Noctuidae. The record is from RefSeq and is a predicted model, not a curated record.
UUUUUGUGCUUUUGUUGCAUUCACUAUGGAGGCGAAAACUUUGAUCGUUUUGUUGGCUGUACUUUUUAGUUCCGUAACAUCAGGCCAAGCAAUACCAAUCUUCCGCUCCCCAUGCCAAUGUCCCCAAAAACUCUCAUGUAUUUCUAAACUGACAACACCGUUUCCCGCCAUCUUAGAAACCAUAGACAACAUCCCGAAUCCUCAGUGCCGUUGUUGCAAAGACCAACUCAUUCUGCCUCCUUUGGCGGUAGAAUUACCAAGGAGUUUGGGUUACUUUCAAUCGGCUUUGCCUCUGGUUGCAAAAUAUUUUAGUCCAAGUGUGGAUAAUGUGAUAACUGGUGCCUAUCUCCCUGUGGCAGCCUGUGAUUUGGUUAUCGCUGCUCCUGUGUGCCCGGAAUACGCGCCAUUAGUCAAACCUAUUGUUUUGUAAAAUAAAUAAUCAUUUGACUGU